RNAcentral lists this small RNA (1769 nucleotides) under Histoplasma capsulatum. RNAcentral describes it as "hypothetical RNA". Lineage: Eukaryota; Fungi; Ascomycota; Eurotiomycetes; Onygenales; Ajellomycetaceae. RNAcentral also lists the same sequence under 1 other name. The record is from RNAcentral.
GAUAACGAUGGGGUGGCGGACGACAUUGCGAUGGAUGAUAUUAGUGAGGAGGGCUAGGUAAGGAGAUGAUGUGUCAAGAAAGCCUUUCGCCUUAGUGAUUCUCUGCGAUGCGAGACUCCUCUGUGUUUUGAAGGAGGUUGAAAAGGGGGUAAGAUAUAUUGAGGGGACCAUUGGACUUGACAACGGUAAUUUAUUUAUCUGCGCUUUUGUGUAUAAUCUCUAUAUCCGCCAUUGAAUUUGCUAGUUUAAAGUUUGUAAGGGUUCUAGAAAUCUAUCCCCGGAUGUCCUGAGCGAGUCUGGGUCCUUGUAAACUCCAAAACGGAGGUUUCAGCACCUGAUAUAACCCGAGGGGAAUAGGAACAUAUCUUCCUCAAUCAUGCUUGUUGGAAUUUCAUACUCGUAGAUGCCUUCGGAACAGUAUUCCCCAAAUUCACAUAAUUAAUAUCUAUCCGCGGAUUCAAUUAGCUUUUAUCUACCAAAAUAUAUAUACACACACUUAUAUAUAUAUAUAUACAGAAAAUAUUUACAAUAACAGAUCUAAACACAUACACCUACCCUCCUCACCUCAAACCCACCAGGCCACCUAGCUGGAUAUAGCGAUCUCUAGAGCAACGUCCACAUCUCCGCUGGGGCCUACAAUAUUAUCAUUUACUUCCCCAUACAGUUGGCAUAGUAGGUAACCGUAGCAGGCCAAUCUGAAAACAUGCCCUUUACGCCAACCCGCUUUGCCAACGCAUCCACGACGUCAUAGACAUCCCCAUCGCCAUCCACCGCGCCGGCCACAGUCUGGUAAUAAUACUCCUUGUCAGCCGCCACAUUUUUCAGCGGACCCGAUCUCUCCAAUGACCACGUAACCAGAUCGAGACCGGCCUUCUUCGCCGCCUUAGCGUAUGUAGAUGGUACGAUGCGUGGUUUCUUGUUAUUUCCGUUGCCGUUGCCGUUACCAUUUCCGGGUGGUUUGUGCUUAUCGUCACCAUCAUCCUCCAGGUCCAAAAGCGCAAAGAUGGGCGGGCCCAUAAUCCUCACUCCCCGCUUCGCCAGAUCCCUCAUGCCUCUGACAGCCUCUUCGUAUCCCUCGGGGGUAUCGACACGCUCGUCCAGAUAGAUAGCCUGACGCGCAAAGGCAGGCUCCUUGUCGAUCCAGUAAAAGAUGUCAGCGGGUAGGAAGGACUGGAGGAAUACGCGGGACGGCUGAAUGCGGGCGGCGCGGAACUCGUCAACGAGUUGCUGCGCGUACAUCUCCUGGGUGUAGUUCUUGCCGCCAGGGGACGGGAAGGGCAUGGGGACCUCGGGCGUCUUGAGCUCCGAGGUGAACUUGAGACCGAGCGAGUUGAUCAGGGAGAUGAAUUCGGCAUGCGAGUGCAGUUGGGGGCAGUCAUCGUUGUACAGGCUCGUGCGCCAGUCCAUGACGCCACUCUGGUAUUGCUCCGGGGUCAUGGCGGUGGGAUCUGAGGAGUCCAUUUUGCCGCAGAGGGACUUGAAUUCGGCAAGGGUAAUGUCGCUUGUGCAGCAUUUGGCGGAGGCUUUAGUUUUGCCGUCCGCGGAGGCCGGGGUGAAGGGUUUCGUGCACUUCGCGGCCAGUUCGGGGACAGUGAGGAUGUUUGUGGUGGUGUGUAGGUCGCACUGGGAAUGGCGACAGACGAGCUGGAGGUCCUUGGUGAAGGCCACAUCGCACUCGAUGAUGCCAGCACCCUCACGCGCGGCGGCUAACCAAGACUCCUUGGUGUGUUCUGGGAACUGCAGUGGGGCGCCGCGGUGGCUGAUGGAGA